RNAcentral lists this long non-coding RNA (328 nucleotides) under Homo sapiens (human). RNAcentral's name for it is "non-protein coding lnc-TFAP2E-2:1". The record is from RNAcentral. Lineage: Eukaryota; Metazoa; Chordata; Mammalia; Primates; Hominidae.
GGAGACCAGCCUGGCCAACAUGGUGAAACCCCGUCUCUAUGAAAAAUACAAAAAUUAGCCAGGCAUGGUGAUGCAUGCCUGUAAUCCCAGCUACUCAGGAGGCUGAUGCAGGAGAAUUGCUCAAACCCAGGAGGCAGAGGUUGCAGUGAGCCGAGAUUACACCACUGCAUUCCAGACUGGGUGAGAGAGCAAGACUCUGUCUCAAAAAAAACAAAAACAAAAACAAAAAAACGCCAGGCACGGUGGCUCACGCCUGUAAUCCCAGCACUUUGGGAGGCCGAGGCGGGUGGAUCACGAGGUCAGGAGAUCGAGACCAUCCUGGCUAACA